Molecule: long non-coding RNA, 602 nt
Organism: Larimichthys crocea (large yellow croaker)
Lineage: Eukaryota; Metazoa; Chordata; Actinopteri; Sciaenidae
Exons: 3
Source: RefSeq, a predicted model, not a curated record
UCCAGUUACUGGUCUGAUGGGAGUAACUACUCAUUCAGUAACUGGAAACAAUCCUUUAACCCAGAUUAUUCGAUCGGUAUCUUAUGUGGUGCUGCAGCCUUGGCUGAUUCAGGAAAAUGGAAGCUUUCACUCUGUGGAACUAAAUUACCAUUUGUCUGCUACAGUGUCCCUCCACCUCCUGUCAUGAGGAAGGUGGUGAAGCUGAGGAUAAAGGCGAAGGACCUUGGAUCUGCUGAUCUGAAUGACCCUGAUGUGAAAGCAGACAUCCUGAGAAAGCUUCAGGACCGACUGGAGGCCAAAGGAGUGAGGGGAGUCACCCUGAAGUGGAGAGAGCAGCCUGAUGGGAAAGUCUUCCACAAGGAGGAAAAAAAGAAAAGAAAGACUGAGCUCUGAAGCUGAAAGCUUCUUGUGUUUAUCUGUAAUCCAUGGUGAAUGUUGAUUCUAUCUGCUGAUGCACAGAGUAGACUAUUAGAACUGUAGCGCUGAAGCACAAAUACAUCCUGUAGAGCAGGGCUGUCCAAACUUCAUUAAAGAGGGCCAGAUUUGACAAUGUGAAGAUGCCCGGGGGUCAAUACUAACAUUUUAAAAAUGAAAAAAUGAAC